This 279-nucleotide unclassified non-coding RNA is filed under the name plant metagenome. RNAcentral's name for it is "partial contains small subunit ribosomal RNA, internal transcribed spacer 1, and 5.8S ribosomal RNA". The record is from RNAcentral.
UCUCCGUUGGUGAACCAGCGGAGGGAUCAUUACAGAGUUCCACAUCUCCCAACCCCUGCGAACCGCACCCCAGUUUGUUCUCGUUGCCUCCUGGCGGCGGGCCCCCUGCGCCACCGCCUGGACACCCGCCAGCAGCGGCGACCCCACUGAACCUUUUACUCUCAACCAGCCCGUCUGAGUAAAAAAACAAAUGACACAAAACUUUCACCAACGGAUCUCAUGGUUCUGGCACGCAUCAGGAACGCAGCAGAUCCGAAUAAACCACGGUUGAACACCUGC